Salvelinus namaycush (lake trout) is the source of this 265-nucleotide long non-coding RNA. RefSeq lists it as uncharacterized. The record is from RefSeq and is a predicted model, not a curated record. The transcript is spliced from 3 exons. Lineage: Eukaryota; Metazoa; Chordata; Actinopteri; Salmoniformes; Salmonidae.
AAGUCUCCCCAGCUCAUUAUCAAUAAAGAGGACUGUACUGGGCAUGAGGAGCGUGGCUCAGGUCAGGGGUCACCGUGUGGGUCAGAGCAGGUCUCCAGUCCUAAGUCUCCCCUCAGCAGCAGCAGCACAGCCCUCUCUAAGAACGAGUCCAACCAGAGCCGUAGGGUGACCCACAUCACUGCUGAACAGAAGAGGCGCUUUAACAUCAACAUUGGCUUCAAAACACUGAGCAGCCUGGUUCCCACUCUCAAGUCCCAGUCCAAUG